GGGCGGCCAGGGCUGGGACAGGAAUGAAUUCCCUGCGGGUCCGGCAUCCUCCUCCAGCCUGGGGCGCCGGCAGCGCGGCGGGCAGUGCUGGGACUCGUGGCGCCCGCGCUCCAGCCCCCGCCCCGGGCCGCUACUGUCGGCGGGGCCCGCGGGGCGCAGGCUGCUCUGCCUCUGGGGCUCCAGUCCGCCUGCACUGUGACGUGGGCAGCAGCUGGGGCGGGCAGUGCCUCGGUCUCCGCUCGGGGACGCGGUGAUUUUCUUUUUUUUUUUUCCGACUGCCGGAGCCCGUGGUGGUGGUGCUGGGGGGCGGGGUCGGCGUGGGCAGAGCUGCGGGGGCUGCCGCGGAGGCCGCCCUAGGAGGGAGGGGGCGGACCCGGGUGUGAGGUGAGCGGCCGUAAUGAGCACUCGGAGGAGCAAGGGGCCCGGCGUGGGCCUCCAGGGCGGGAGGCCCUGACGCAGGGAGGAGGCAGCCGGGCAGCCAAGGGCCUCCCUGGGGAGUGUGCGGAGGCCGGGACGGAGCAGCGCGUAACUAGGGAGAGGAUAGGCCGGGCUGGUGGAGAUGCGGGGAGAGACCAGCCAAAGCUAAAGAGCCAAAGCAAAGGCAACUACAAUGUCGGCACUGCCCUAGGCUCCAGGGCCACAGAGACAACCAUAGCUUCAGCCUCCUGCUCCGAAUGACAUCUCUCAGAAGUCUUCCCUGACUGUCCAGGCGGAAUUAAUGGUUCACUUCCCUGUUCCUCUAUACCUUGAACAUCCCUCUACAACUGAAUGCUCCUUCAUUCCAUUUCAUUGCACCAGCAUGUAUCGAGGGUCUACUGUUAUCUAUCACUGAAGAGAAUGAUUGCAAAAAACUUGAAUGAACAUGGAAAAUGCUGAUGAUCAGAUUUCCAUUGAAAAGAACGGGGUGCUCCUUGGGGUGGGGGUGUUGUGGUUGUAAUUGUCAGAAAGUGUUUAAUAAAAGAAACAGAAA
Long non-coding RNA from Gorilla gorilla gorilla (western lowland gorilla), 970 nucleotides. RefSeq lists it as uncharacterized. The record is from RefSeq and is a predicted model, not a curated record. Lineage: Eukaryota; Metazoa; Chordata; Mammalia; Primates; Hominidae. The transcript is spliced from 3 exons.